Molecule: ribosomal RNA, 363 nt
Filed under: uncultured bacterium
Lineage: Bacteria
Description: bacterial SSU rRNA
Rfam family: Bacterial small subunit ribosomal RNA
Source: RNAcentral
AAACCCCGCAAGGGGUAAGUAGAGUGGCAAACGGGUGAGUAACACGUGGGUGACCUGCCUUCGAGUGGGGGAUAACGUCCCGAAAGGGACGCUAAUACCGCAUGACAUCCUGCGUUUGGAAACGCGGAGAUCAAAGCCUGGGAUCGCAAGACCUGGCGCUUGGAGAGGGGCCCGCGCCUGAUUAGCUAGUUGGUGGGGUAACGGCCUACCAAGGCGACGAUCAGUAUCCGGCCUGAGAGGGCGGACGGACACACUGGGACUGAGACACGGCCCAGACUCCUACGGGAGGCAGCAGUGGGGAAUUGUUCGCAAUGGGCGCAAGCCUGACGACGCAACGCCGCGUGGAGGACGAAGAUCUUCGGG